RNAcentral lists this ribosomal RNA (490 nucleotides) under uncultured bacterium. RNAcentral's name for it is "partial 16S ribosomal RNA". It matches the Rfam family "Bacterial small subunit ribosomal RNA", at positions 30 to 507 of the family's 1533-position model. The record is from RNAcentral.
AUUGAACGCUGGCGGCAGGCCUAACACAUGCAAGUCGAACGGUAACAGGAAACAGCUUGCUGUUUCGCUGACGAGUGGCGGACGGGUGAGUAAUGUCUGUGAAACUGCCUGAUGGAGGGGGAUAACUACUGGAAACGGUAGCUAAUACCGCAUAACCUCGCAAGACCAAAGAGGGGGACCUUCGGGCCUCUUGCCAUCGGAUGUGCCCAGAUGGGAUUAGCUCGUUGGUGGGGUAACGGCUCACCAAGGCGACGAUCCCUAGCUGGUCUGAGAGGAUGACCAGCCACACUGGAACUGAGACACGGUCCAGACUCCUACGGGAGGCAGCAGUGGGGAAUAUUGCACAAUGGGCGCAAGCCUGAUGCAGCCAUGCCGCGUGUAUGAAGAAGGCCUUCGGGUUGUAAAGUACUUUCAGCGGGGAGGAAGGGAGUAAAGUUAAUACCUUUGCUCAUUGACGUUACCCGAAGAAGAAGCACCGGCUAACUCCGUG